GAAAUGCGAUAAGUAAUGUGAAUUGCAGAAUUCCGUGAAUCAUCGAAUCUUUGAACGCACAUUGCGCCCUCUGGUAUUCCGGGGGGCAUGCCUGUCCGAGCGUCAUUGCAACCCUCAAGCCCGGCUUGUGUGAUGGGCGCGCGUCCCCAUUAGGGGACGAGCCCAAAAGGCAGUGGCGGCGUCGCGGUUAUCCGAAUUGCCUAAGUGUAUGGGGCUCUGUCACGCACUAUGGCUAGGACCGGCGCCAGCCCAACUCUAGUUAUCUUUCUAUGGUUGACCUCGGAUCAGGUAGGGAUACCCGCUGAACUUAA
Molecule: unclassified non-coding RNA, 311 nt
Filed under: uncultured Eurotiomycetes
Lineage: Eukaryota; Fungi; Ascomycota; Eurotiomycetes
Description: sequence contains ITS1
Rfam family: 5.8S ribosomal RNA (bases 1-105)
Source: RNAcentral